Molecule: long non-coding RNA, 741 nt
Organism: Oryzias melastigma (Indian medaka)
Lineage: Eukaryota; Metazoa; Chordata; Actinopteri; Beloniformes; Adrianichthyidae
Exons: 2
Source: RefSeq, a predicted model, not a curated record
GAAGAGGAGUGUUUGUGUAUUUUAACAACAUUUUGGUGGGUCUUGUUUUGUUUUCCCUUUUUAGAUGGUGUUGACAUGUUUGCCAGGAAGGAGCUUUUCUAUCAACAGAUGCUUCUGUCGAGGCUUGAGGAAGAAAGGCAAAUCCUCGCGAAGGAAAUGAUGCAGCAUUGUUCAUAUUUGAACCAUUUACACAAAAAGGUCCAUGCCCUCCUCAUGAACAUUCUGGAUUUCCCCAGGAGUUCAGUGUCUGAAGAAACUCUGCCGACUGAGGAAGGUUCAAGUGGUCUUCACUGUUACCUUAAGAAGAGACUUCAAGAGAUUAAGCAUGAGAAAGAAACUGUGUUCAAAUGCUACAGAUCUCUUCUUCAAAUGAAGACUGUCUUUGGCUGCAUGAUAGUCUGGAGAUGAACUGGCAGACGGAGCGUGAGUCUUCAGACGAUGACGAGGUGGACACGGAGGAGGAGGAGGAGGAGGAGGAGACAUGGGAGGAUCAGGAAAAAUGAUAAGGGGAGUACUGCAACAUCCAAAACCUUGUGCUCUGUUUACACCAAUAAUAAAAUACGUUUAAACUAAGAUCUGUUUCCUUUUUUGGAUUUAUUAAAAAAAAUUGGAUGUAGAAUGUCUUUUUUUUUUUCAAAAUCUGUGCUUCAAUGAAAAGCCAUUCCCUCUUUUGUUGUUUAAAAUUCAAAAUAUGAUAUUGUGUGGUCAUUUAUUUGGCAUGUCUUUUGAAAGUGUGCACUU